GAUGAACGCUGGCGGCGUGCCUAAUACAUGCAAGUCGAGCGAACGGACGAGAAGCUUGCUUCUCUGAUGUUAGCGGCGGACGGGUGAGUAACACGUGGAUAACCUACCUAUAAGACUGGGAUAACUUCGGGAAACCGUAGCUAAUACCGGAUAAUAUUUUGAACCGCAUGGUUCAAAAGUGAAAGACGGUCUUGCUGUCACUGAUAGAUGGAUCCGCGCUGCAUUAGCUAGUUGGUAAGGUAACGGCUUACCAAGGCAACGAUGCAUAGCCGACCUGAGAGGGUGAUCGGCCACACUGGAACUGAGACACGGUCCAGACUCCUACGGGAGGCAGCAGUAGGGAAUCUUCCGCAAUGGGCGAAAGCCUGACGGAGCAACGCCGCGUGAGUGAUGAAGGUCUUCGGAUCGUAAAACUCUGUUAUUAGGGAAGAAAAUAUGUGUAAGUAACUGUGCACAUCUUGACGGUACCUAAGCAGAAAGCCACGGCUAACUACG
RNAcentral lists this ribosomal RNA (495 nucleotides) under uncultured bacterium. RNAcentral describes it as "partial 16S ribosomal RNA". It matches the Rfam family "Bacterial small subunit ribosomal RNA", at positions 28 to 505 of the family's 1533-position model. The record is from RNAcentral.